UACAGAGGGGGCAAGCGUUGUUCGGAAUUACUGGGCGUAAAGCGUGCGCAGGCGGUUGUGCAAGACAGAUGUGAAAUCCCCGGGCUUAACCUGGGAAUUGCAUUUGUGACUGCACGGCUAGAGUGUGGUAGGGGAGAUCGGAAUUCCUGGUGUAGCGGUGAAAUGCGCAGAUAUCGGGAGGAACACCGGUGGCGAAGGCGGUUCUCUGGGCUUUACCUGACGCUGAGGAGCGAAAGCGUGGGGAGCGAACAGG
This 253-nucleotide ribosomal RNA is filed under the name uncultured bacterium. RNAcentral describes it as "partial 16S ribosomal RNA". It matches the Rfam family "Bacterial small subunit ribosomal RNA", at positions 524 to 776 of the family's 1533-position model. The record is from RNAcentral.